UAGGGAAUCUUCCACAAUGGGCGAAAGCCUGAUGGAGCAAUGCCGCGUGUGUGAUGAAGGGUUUCGGCUCGUAAAACACUGUUGUAAGAGAAGAAUGACAUUGAGAGUAACUGUUCAAUGUGUGACGGUAUCUUACCAGAAAGGAACGGCUAAAUACGUGCCAC
RNAcentral lists this ribosomal RNA (164 nucleotides) under uncultured bacterium. RNAcentral's name for it is "partial 16S rRNA". It matches the Rfam family "Bacterial small subunit ribosomal RNA", at positions 355 to 511 of the family's 1533-position model. The record is from RNAcentral.